AGAGUUUGAUCCUGGCUCAGGAUAAACGCUGGCGGCGCACAUAAGACAUGCAAGUCGAACGGAAGUCGUUGUAAUGAAAUGGAAAUGGACAGAGAACUUGUUCGAAGAAAGUUGAAGUAGACUUACAACAAUGGCUUUAGUGGCGGACUGGUGAGUAACGCGUAAGGAACCUGCCUUUUAGAGGGGAAUAACAAUGAGAAAUCAUUGCUAAUACCGCAUAUGCCGAGAGAAUCACAUGGUACAAUCGGGAAAGGAGCAAUCCGCUAAAAGAUGGCCUUGCGUCUGAUUAGAUAGUUGGUGGGGUAACGGCCUACCAAGUCGACGAUCAGUAGCCGGACUGAGAGGUUGAACGGCCACAUUGGGGCUGAGAUACGGCCCAGACUCCUACGGGAGGCAGCAGUCGGGAAUAUUGCGCAAUGGAGGAAACUCUGACGCAGUGACGCCGCGUAUAGGAAGAAGGUUUUCGGAUUGUAAACUAUUGUCGUUAGGGAAGAGAAAGGACAGUACCUAAGGAGGAAGCUCCGGCUAACUACGUGCCAGCAGCCGCGGUAAUACGUAGGGAGCGAGCGUUAUCCGGAAUUAUUGGGUGUAAAGGGUGCGUAGACGGGAAGAUAAGUUAGUUGUGAAAUCCCUCGGCUUAACUGAGGAGCUGCAACUAAAACUGUUUUUCUUGAGUGCAGGAGAGGUAAGUGGAAUUCCUAGUGUAGCGGUGAAAUGCGUAGAUAUUAGGAGGAACACCAGUGGCGAAGGCGACUUACUGGACUGUAACUGACGUUGAGGCACGAAAGUGUGGGGAGCAAACAGGAUUAGAUACCCUGGUAGUCCACACCGUAAACGAUGGAUACUAGGUGUAGGAGAUAUUAAGUCUUCUGUGCCGUCGCAAUCGCAAUAAGUAUCCCACCUGGGGAGUACGGCCGCAAGGUUGAAACUCAAAGGAAUUGACGGGGGCCCGCACAAGCAGUGGAGUAUGUGGUUUAAUUCGAAGCAACGCGAAGAACCUUACCAAGGCUUGACAUAUACAGGAAUAUUUAAGAGAUUAAAUAGCUCUUCGGAGUCUGUAUACAGGUGGUGCAUGGUUGUCGUCAGCUCGUGCCGUGAGGUGUUGGGUUAAGUCCCGCAACGAGCGCAACCCCUGUCCUUAGUUGCCAGCAUGUAGAGAUGGGAACUCUAAGGAGACUGCCGUAGAUAAUACGGAGGAAGGUGGGGAUGACGUCAAAU
This 1218-nucleotide ribosomal RNA is filed under the name metagenome. Its description in RNAcentral is "bacterial SSU rRNA". It matches the Rfam family "Bacterial small subunit ribosomal RNA", at positions 8 to 1190 of the family's 1533-position model. The record is from RNAcentral.